AUUGAACGCUGGCGGCAUGCCUUACACAUGCAAGUCGAACGGUAACAGGUUAAGCUGCCGAGUGGCGAACGGGUGAGUAAUGUAUCGGAACGUGCCCAGUCGUGGGGGAUAACUGCUCGAAAGAGCAGCUAAUACCGCAUACGACCUGAGGGUGAAAGCGGGGGAUCGCAAGUCCUCGCGCGAUUGGAGCGGCCGAUAUCAGAUUAGGUAGUUGGUGAGGUAAAGGCUCACCAAGCCGACGAUCUGUAGCUGGUCUGAGAGGACGACCAGCCACACUGGGACUGAGACACGGCCCAGACUCCUACGGGAGGCAGCAGUGGGGAAUUUUGGACAAUGGGCGCAAGCCUGAUCCAGCCAUGCCGCGUGCGGGAAGAAGGCCUUCGGGUUGUAAACCGCUUUUGUCAGGGAAGAAAAGGUUCUGGCUAAUACCUGGGACUCAUGACGGUACCUGAAGAAUAAGCACCGGCUAACUACGUG
This 477-nucleotide ribosomal RNA is filed under the name uncultured bacterium. RNAcentral describes it as "partial 16S ribosomal RNA". It matches the Rfam family "Bacterial small subunit ribosomal RNA", at positions 30 to 507 of the family's 1533-position model. The record is from RNAcentral.